Molecule: ribosomal RNA, 188 nt
Filed under: Aspergillus micronesiensis
Lineage: Eukaryota; Fungi; Ascomycota; Eurotiomycetes; Eurotiales; Aspergillaceae
Description: partial 28S ribosomal RNA
Rfam family: Eukaryotic large subunit ribosomal RNA
Source: RNAcentral
UUGACCUCGGAUCAGGUAGGGAUACCCGCUGAACUUAAGCAUAUCAAUAAGCGGAGGAAAAGAAACCAACCGGGAUUGCCUCAGUAACGGCGAGUGAAGCGGCAAGAGCUCAAAUUUGAAAGCUGGCCCCUCCGGGGUCCGCAUUGUAAUUUGCAGAGGAUGCUUCGGGUGCAGCCCCCGUCUAAGUG